AGUUUGGAAUGCAGUGAAGUAAGCAUAGCAGUCUUUAUAGCAUUUUACAAAUUUCUCUUGGCCUCAGAAAUCACAAAAUAAUCACACAAAGAAACCUAACCCUUUGCCUGCAGGACAAUGCAAGGUUUUUUAUUAAAAGAGGAAUUUAAAUUCCUUCUGUGCACAGACUGUUUUAACUAUAAAGACUUAGAAAAUUAAUUUU
Molecule: long non-coding RNA, 202 nt
Filed under: Homo sapiens (human)
Lineage: Eukaryota; Metazoa; Chordata; Mammalia; Primates; Hominidae
Description: HSALNT0163382
Source: RNAcentral